Molecule: ribosomal RNA, 460 nt
Filed under: uncultured bacterium
Lineage: Bacteria
Description: partial 16S ribosomal RNA
Rfam family: Bacterial small subunit ribosomal RNA
Source: RNAcentral
CCUACGGGAGACAGCAGUGGGGAAUAUUGCGCAAUGGGCGAGAGUCUGAACCAGCCAAGUAGCGUGAAGGAUGACUGCCCUACGGGUUGUAAACUUCUUUUAUAUGGGAAUAAAAUGUUCCACGUGUGGGACUUUGUAUGUACCAUAUGAAUAAGGAUCGGCUAACUCCGUGCCAGCAGCCGCGGUAAUACGGAGGAUCCGAGCGUUAUCCGGAUUUAUUGGGUUUAAAGGGAGCGUAGGUGGAUUGUUAAGUCAGUUGUGAAAGUUUGCGGCUCAACCGUAGAAUUGCAGUUGAAACUGGCAGUCUUGAGUACAGUAGAGGUUGGCGGAAUUCGUGGUGUAGCGGUGAAAUGCUUAGAUAUCACGAAGAACUCCGAUUGCGAAGGCAGCUCACUGGAGUGCAACUGACACUGAGGCUCGAAAGUGUGGGUAUCAAACAGGAUUAGAUACCCCAGUAGUC